This 3221-nucleotide long non-coding RNA is filed under the name Volvox carteri. RNAcentral describes it as "long non-coding RNA (VCAR_LNC004253)". The record is from RNAcentral. Lineage: Eukaryota; Viridiplantae; Chlorophyta; Chlorophyceae; Chlamydomonadales; Volvocaceae.
CGCGGUGAGACCAGCGGCCGUAGCGAUGACAACGCUGAGACUAUUCGCAAGCGCUUCCAUACAUUCCUGGAGCAGUCGCUUCCUGUCAAGGACCAUUACCUGGCUCAGGGCAAGUGCCACAUCAUCAGCGCCGUUCCGCCACCAGGGGAGGUUUUCGAAGUUGUGAAGAAAGUGCUGGACGGCAUUUCCGCACCAAGAAAAUCUGAUGUAAGUGACUUAUCAGUUCGUGUCAUGUGGGGUCCAAUGCGAUGAUCCCUCCUGCCAUGGCCUGGUCUGGCAUACAUCACGUAUGCCAGGCGACUGGCAAUUACGGCUCUGCCACACCCCGUGGUGCCGUAUCAUUGGCAAGAGAAUGGGCCCGAAUGUCGAGAAACCCCACGUCCAUGCGUGCAGUACAUACCAUAUCUAUGCGUCGCCACACUCUGCCAUUGUCCAACGUGUUAGGGUUCAUGCUGGAAUUGAGCACUGGGCCUAAUGCCUCAUUUUUAUUUGGAUGGUGACAUGUGACAGCAGUGCGUGCAAUGGCGCAGGUCAUGCUUUGGUGACAGUGAUACGGAACACAGCUUUCAUAAUCUUUCCGUGUCCGCGCCAAAUGCACAUACCCCGCAAACAGGGGAACUGAGUGAUGUGCUUCUCGGUUUCGCUUUUGCGCAAUGCUACAGUCAGACAUAGAAUGAAUGCGUCAUGUGCUUUGGUAAUUGUAGGAGAUUGCCCUGCCGCCUGUGAAGGGCAGCCUGCCGGAGGAUGCUCAAAUUAUCUUUGUGCUUGGUGGGCCAGGCAGCGGCAAAGGCACGCAGUGUGCGCAAAUCCUUCAGGAGUACGAAUGCGUGCACCUCAGCGCUGGUGAUUUGCUUCGUGCCGAGGUCAAGAGCGGCAGCGUCGUGGGCAGGAAGUGCGAGGAGCUGAUGCGCGAAGGCAAGCUGGUGCCUUUCGCUGUGACGCUGAACCUGCUGAAGAAGGCCAUGAUUGAGAGUGGCGGCAAGUUCUUCCUCAUCGACGGCUUCCCACGCGCCCUGGACCAGGCGGAGCAGUUUGAGGGCAACAUCAUGCCAUGCAAGGCCGUGCUGUUCUUUGACUGCCCUGAGGAGGAGAUGGAGAAGCGGCUGCUGAAGCGCGGUGAGACCAGCGGCCGUAGCGAUGACAACGCUGAGACUAUCCGCAAGCGCUUCCAUACAUUCCUGGAGCAGUCGCUUCCUGUCAAGGACCAUUACCUGGCUCAGGGCAAGUGCCACAUCAUCAGCGCCGUUCCGCCACCAGGGGAGGUUUUCGAAGUUGUGAAGGAGGUGCUGGAUAAGCUCCAUUCCCCAAGAAAGCCUCAGGUAACGUUAGCUGAGUGACUAGGGAUGGACUCAGUCCUGGACGUGUGGCAAGCUACUUUCUUGGGAUGGCUCGCCGACCCACAUCGGUGUGCCAGCUGCAGGCUUACACCUUUCGAGCCACCCUGUAGGGUUUGGGGAUAGCUUUAGCUUAUGAGGAGACAGGGUUGUGUAAUCGAUUGCACCGCUCGAUCGGUUGUCAACUUAAAUUGUUGGCAUGCUGCGAUGUUGCUUCAUGAGGGCCAGUGGUGCAAAACAAUGUCCUUAUAGCAUGUGGGGCUUUGAGAGCGACUGAGUGCUAACUGUGCGCGUUUAUGCCUGAGGCGCUUACCUGGUUGGACCAUGGCUAAAUGAGAGUGUUUUAGCUCUUUUUUGUCAUGGAGCACUUGACGUCAUCGGUCAUGGCGAGGCUUUAUCAUCUCUCGCGUCUGUCAAGCUGGGCAUUGGCUUGUCCCUACGAAACAGGGCAUUCAUAUUCAACUGCAUUUGCUGCAAUGUGUUCCGGCCCGCCUGUGUUCAUGAAGCCAGCAAAUCAUUACACGUCGACGGCAGCGUAAUACGUGUAACCUGAUACGUGGCCUACUCGGCCUGACUGAUUUCUUGGUGACCGCUGUACGACCGUUGUGCCUUUGUAGGAGAUUGCCCUACCGCCUGUGAAGGGCAGCUUGCCGGAGGAUGCUCAAAUUAUCUUUGUGCUUGGUGGGCCAGGCAGCGGCAAAGGCACGCAGUGCGACAAGAUCAAACAGGACUAUAAAUGCGUACACCUCAGCGCUGGUGAUCUGCUUCGUGCCGAGGUCAAGAGCGGCAGCGUCGUGGGCAAGAAGUGCGAGGAGCUGAUGCGCGAAGGCAAGCUGGUGCCUUUCGCCGUGACGCUGAACCUGCUGAAAAAGGCCAUGAUUGAGAGUGGCGGCAAGUUCUUCCUCAUCGACGGCUUCCCACGCGCCCUGGACCAGGCGGAGCAGUUUGAGAGCAACAUCAUGCCAUGCAAGGCCGUGCUGUUCUUUGACUGCCCUGAGGAGGAGAUGGAGAAGCGGCUGCUGAAGCGCGGUGAGACCAGCGGCCGUAGCGAUGACAACGCUGAGACGAUUCGCAAGCGCUUCAAGACGUUUCUGGAGCAGUCGCUUCCUGUGAAGGACCAUUACCUGGCUCAGGGCAAGUGCCACGUCAUCAGUGCCGUUCCGUCGCCGGAGGAGGUGUACGGGAAGGUGAAGGCUGUGCUGACCAGCCUUCACGCGCCGGAAAAGGUGAGCAAAGUAAUUUCUUGGCGCGAUACGUUUUCCGUGGCAUCAUCACUUUCGAUGAUUUUACGCUGGUCCGUGCACUCGUUGUGGGUCAGAGCGCUGGACGUGGCUAUAAGUGUUAGCGCAAAAGAGUGAGGAGUCGCAACAUGACAAGCUGGAACAUGGCACGUGGUUUGGAUUGCUCCCUUGCUUCGGAUCGAUUUGUGGAAUACAAUUGCUGUCCCAUUACGACUGCCUUAUCCGGCACCAACACUUUACCGAACACGAUCCAUUUCGUUUUCCAGUCAAACGGAGUCGUGCACUGUGAGCUGCAGGAUUAGCUAUUCCUGUAUAAUUGAAACAAAUUUUGCAUGCCUGCAGUUUGCGCUGCCCCCAGUACAUGGCAGCCUGCCGGAUGAUGCUCAGAUCAUCUUCGUGCUUGGUGGGCCAGGCAGCGGCAAAGGCACGCAGUGUGCGCAAAUCCUUGAGGAGUACGAAUGCGUGCACCUCAGCGCUGGUGAUUUGCUUCGUGCCGAGGUCAAGAGCGGCAGCGUCGUGGGCAGGAAGUGCGAGGAGCUGAUGCGCGAAGGCAAGCUGGUGCCUUUCGCUGUGACGCUGAACCUGCUGAAGAAGGCCAUGAUUGAGAGUGGCGGCAAGUUCUUCCUCAUCGACGGCUUCCCACGCG